UACAGAGGGUGCAAGCGUUGUUCGGAAUUACUGGGCGUAAAGCGCGUGUAGGCGGUCCCGUAAGUCGGAUGUGAAAGCCCUUGGCUUAACCAAGGAACUGCAUUCGAAACUGCGAGACUAGAGUGUCGGAGGGGAUGGCGGAAUUCCCGGUGUAGAGGUGAAAUUCGUAGAUAUCGGGAGGAACACCUGUGGCGAAGGCG
This 200-nucleotide ribosomal RNA is filed under the name uncultured bacterium. RNAcentral's name for it is "partial 16S ribosomal RNA". It matches the Rfam family "Bacterial small subunit ribosomal RNA", at positions 524 to 723 of the family's 1533-position model. The record is from RNAcentral.